Molecule: ribosomal RNA, 484 nt
Filed under: uncultured bacterium
Lineage: Bacteria
Description: partial 16S ribosomal RNA
Rfam family: Bacterial small subunit ribosomal RNA
Source: RNAcentral
GACGAACGCUGGCGGCGUGCUUAACACAUGCAAGUCGAACGAUGAAGCCGGAGCUUGCUCUGGUGAAUUAGUGGCGAACGGGUGAGUAACACGUGAGUAACCUGCCCUUGACUCUGGGAUAACUGCUAGAAAUGGUAGCUAAUACCGGAUACGACCCUCGGCGGCAUCGCCAGGGGGUGGAAAGAAUUUCGGUCAAGGAUGGACUCGCGGCCUAUCAGCUAGUUGGUGAGGUAACGGCUCACCAAGGCGACGACGAGUAGCAGGCCUGCGAGGGCGACCGGACAGACUGGGACGUAGAAACGGCCCAGGCUACUACCGGAGGCAGCAGGGGGGAAUAAUGCGCUAUGGAGGAAACUCUAACCCAGCGACGCCGCGUGCGGGAUGAAGGCCUUCGGGUCGUAAACCGCUUUCAGCAGGGAAGAAGCGAAAGUGACGGUACCUGCAGAAGAAGCACCGGCUAACUAUGAGCCAGCCGCCGCAGUAA